Molecule: ribosomal RNA, 301 nt
Filed under: uncultured bacterium
Lineage: Bacteria
Description: partial 16S ribosomal RNA
Rfam family: Bacterial small subunit ribosomal RNA
Source: RNAcentral
CAGUCGCCACGGUAAUACAGAGGGUGCAAGCGUUAAUCGGAAUUACUGGGCGUAAAGCGCGCGUAGGUGGUUCGCCAAGUUGGAUGUGAAAUCCCCGGGCUCAACCUGGGAACUGCAUCCAAAACUGGCGAGCUAGAGUAUGGUAGAGGGUGGUGGAAUUUCCUGUGUAGCGGUGAAAUGCGUAGAUAUAGGAAGGAACAUCAGUGGCGAAGGCGACCACCUGGACUGAUACUGACACUGAGGUGCGAAAGCGUGGGGAGCAAACAGGAUUAGAACCCCGGUAGUCCCUGUCUCUUAUACC